Molecule: long non-coding RNA, 1010 nt
Organism: Centropristis striata (black sea bass)
Lineage: Eukaryota; Metazoa; Chordata; Actinopteri; Perciformes; Serranidae
Exons: 3
Source: RefSeq, a predicted model, not a curated record
GUUUAUCCAUAGACUGUAUAGAGUUUAGAGUUUAUCACGGGAUCUCGCGGUCUCCCGUAUGGUCAGGAUUAUCGCGUGAUCUCGUGAUCUCGCGUGUAUACGACCGGCUCGCCAAACUGACGUGACUCUGCUGUAACGCUCCCGGUGUGAAUUGACGCCGGGCAGAAGACGCAGCAAAACCACGGUGGAGCCGUGCCGCUGCUGUAGCAUGCCCGGUGGCUCAUAACAUCAUCCUGAGGCGCACACAGCUCAUUUCAACGCCUUCUGCAGGAGCUGCAUCUGGAUGACACCACUGAGGGCGAGCAGAGGCUCCCUGGGUGACCAGCCCUGGCUGACUGCCCUAUCGCUGGAGAUCUUCACGAUUACUUUGUCCCGAGGAAGUGAACACCCUGACACCGAAACCUCCCAACAGGGAGGGAGGACACUGUUUAACCUGUUAACCUUUAACCUCAUCCUCUUCUGUAACUGGGACCUCGCCACAUCUGCUGAAGAAACACACCCAGAGGAAAGUAUGAGGAGCAGCAAUAAUUGCCACAAAGUGCAAUAACAAUCUUUAUCCCAUCUCACUCCAUGACUGGGACACACUUCAAGUCUCUUUUCUGGGUCCAACAUUACAGCUCUCAUCUUAAAUGAAUGUGACCUCUGUGUGUACUUGGCUCUGACCCUUCCACAACUUCUGCUGAAGGAAAAAAAAAAUGUGUGUGUAUUUGGACUGACUCAUGUCUGUGUGUACAUUCAUGAGAGUGCCAAAGAAAUCAAUGUUUACUUGAAAAUCAACUAGAGGAUUGGGGCUGCACGCUCCCGUCUAAAACACAUGCGGCCAAGGCAUCCCACCCAGCAGGAUCUGCUGCCUAAACCCAGAUACAGCUGUUCUUUCCUUUGUCCAGUGCCUGAGGGAAACUCAGGGGAGCAAACACCAAGUUCAGAAAGAUGAUCGGCAUCAGGCCUUGACAGGACAUGCAUGCUCAUGUAUCCCAAAUUUAACAAUUAUCAGAGUAUCCUGCUAGCGU